This 253-nucleotide ribosomal RNA is filed under the name uncultured bacterium. RNAcentral's name for it is "partial 16S ribosomal RNA". It matches the Rfam family "Bacterial small subunit ribosomal RNA", at positions 524 to 776 of the family's 1533-position model. The record is from RNAcentral.
UACGGAGGGGGCAAGCGUUGUUCGGAAUUACUGGGCGUAAAGGGCUCGUAGGUGGCCAACUAAGUCAUACGUGAAAUCCCUCAGCUUAACUGGGGAACUGCGUGUGAUACUGGAUGGCUUGGAUUUGGGAGAGGGAUGCGGAAUUCCAGGUGUAGCGGUGAAAUGCGUAGAUAUCUGGAGGAACACCGGUGGCGAAGGCGGCAUCCUGGACCAAUAUUGACGCUGAGGAGCGAAAGCCAGGGGAGCAAACGGG